UACGUAGGGGGCAAGCGUUGUCCGGAUUUAUUGGGCGUAAAGAGCGUGUAGGCGGCCAGGCAGGUCCGUUGUGAAAACUCGAGGCUCAACCUCGAGACGUCGAUGGAAACCGUCUGGCUAGAGUCCGGAAGAGGAGAGUGGAAUUCCUGGUGUAGCGGUGAAAUGCGCAGAUAUCAGGAAGAACACCAGUGGCGAAGGCGGCUCACUGGACCGGUACUGACGCUGAGGCGCGAAAGCGUGGGGAGCAAACAGG
This 253-nucleotide ribosomal RNA is filed under the name uncultured bacterium. RNAcentral's name for it is "partial 16S ribosomal RNA". It matches the Rfam family "Bacterial small subunit ribosomal RNA", at positions 524 to 776 of the family's 1533-position model. The record is from RNAcentral.